GCAAGUACAGUAGCACAGAGAUC
Molecule: non-coding RNA, 23 nt
Filed under: Cricetulus griseus (Chinese hamster)
Lineage: Eukaryota; Metazoa; Chordata; Mammalia; Rodentia; Cricetidae
Source: RNAcentral